This 428-nucleotide ribosomal RNA is filed under the name uncultured prokaryote. RNAcentral describes it as "bacterial SSU rRNA". It matches the Rfam family "Bacterial small subunit ribosomal RNA", at positions 355 to 774 of the family's 1533-position model. The record is from RNAcentral.
UAGGGAAUCUUCCGCAAUGGACGAAAGUCUGACGGAGCAACGCCGCGUGAGUGAUGAAGGUUUUCGGAUUGUAAAGCUCUGUUGUUAGGGAAGAACAAGUACCGUUCGAAUAGGGCGGUACCUUGACGGUACCUAACCAGAAAGCCACGGCUAACUACGUGCCCGCAGCCGCGGUAAUACGUAGGUGGCAAGCGUUGUCCGGAAUUAUUGGGCGUAAAGGGCUCGCAGGCGGUUUCUUAAGUCGGAGGUGAAAGCCCCCGGCUCAACCGGGGAGGGUCAUUGGAAACUGGGGAACUUGAGUGCAGAAGAGGAGAGGGGAAUUCCACGUGUAGCGGUGAAAUGCGUAGAGAUGUGGAGGAACACCAGUGGCGAAGGCGACUCUCUGGUCUGUAACUGACGCUGAGGAGCGAAAGCGUGGGGAGCGAACA